CGGACGGGUGAGUAACGCGUGGGUAACCUGCCUUGUACAGGGGAUAACAGUUGGAAACGGCUGCUAGUACCGCAUAAGCGCGCGGCAUCGCAUGAUGCAGUGUGAAAAACUCCGGUGGUAUAAGAUGGACCCGCGUUGGAUUAGCUAGUUGGUGAGGUAACGGCCCACCAAGGCGACGAUCCAUAGCCGACCUGAGAGGGUGACCGGCCACAUUGGGACUGAGACACGGCCCAA
Molecule: ribosomal RNA, 234 nt
Filed under: uncultured bacterium
Lineage: Bacteria
Description: partial 16S ribosomal RNA
Rfam family: Bacterial small subunit ribosomal RNA
Source: RNAcentral